GUUCCCUGGAAAGCAGAGGUUGGACUUCAGAGCGAACAGUGCGUUUACAUAAGUAACUGCUUGUUGCACUCAUACAGCAGAAGAGGCAACACAUGGAGGCAGACAUCAUCAACAUGAAAUUGUGAAGAUCAGCUCGCAAACCAGAACUGCUGGCACAUUGCAGCUUAAUGGCGACCGGUGGCUUUGGACACAAAUGACAGAAGGGAUCAUAAUGCAUCAGCUUCCUUGACACCAGAGCUGCUGUCAUUGAGCACGGGAUGACACAGAUCGCCUGCAGAGAAUCACGAGGGCAGAGCAGCUUCUUCCUAUUUUGAGAACAGAGAUCUCCUGCUGCCCUUUGCAUGGGGGCAAACAGCAACCCUGUAGUCCUUCUAUGCUGCCUGACCUGACAAGGAGCACAGCUCACCGUUUUGACAGUUUGACUGGUCUGAAGACUUGGAUACCCAAGACAGGUGCAUAGACAAAAACCUGAUCCCAUGCGCAGAGAUCUUGUAAACAGGUCUUCCCAGGAGGAGAUCAAGGAGAUCUGCUCAGCCUGCUUUCCAGACAUCUCUGCUAUCUUGGAACAACGUUUGAGUUUCUGGGCCCUUUUUAGGGUUUUCUCAUCACAAGGCACCAGGCAGCCUUCAUACAGCAGACAGCUGAGUGGCAAAGCCUUGCCGCAGAUGCAUUCGUUCCGUGGUUGGUGCUGUCCUGCAGGCUGUGCGUGCUGCAGAAAUCCAAGCUGUGGCUGCUGCUCCUGAGCCAGAGCCACGUCAGUGCUGACCUGAUGGUGCUGCUGAGGAUGUCACAAGGGACACGUGUUGGCUUUGGUUAUCAACAGCCAGCACUACAGUGAUUUCAUCAACACUGGUGGUGUCCUUUCUCAGAACUGUGAUGAGGCGUGAAGUUUGGAA
Centrocercus urophasianus (Greater sage-grouse) is the source of this 896-nucleotide long non-coding RNA. RefSeq lists it as uncharacterized. The transcript is spliced from 6 exons. The record is from RefSeq and is a predicted model, not a curated record. Lineage: Eukaryota; Metazoa; Chordata; Aves; Galliformes; Phasianidae.